RNAcentral lists this long non-coding RNA (1224 nucleotides) under Brachypodium distachyon (stiff brome). Its description in RNAcentral is "long non-coding RNA (BDIS_LNC005185)". Lineage: Eukaryota; Viridiplantae; Streptophyta; Magnoliopsida; Poales; Poaceae. The record is from RNAcentral.
GAAGGCGGAGCUGCGGCAACCAAAACCAAAACCGAUCGCGUCAAAAGUUGCGGAAAGAAGAGAGGAGCAAGGGAGGGUGGUCGAUGCGGCGAAAGGCUCACCGGAGUGGCGGCGAAGGCGCGAAAUCGGCGCCGACAGAGACGAACUCCGGCGAGGAAUUAAACUCUAACCGGUGCGAAAUCGGGCGAGCGGUUUGGGGGAAGUAGAGGAGAAAAGAGAGAGGCUCGAGGUGACGCGCAAGGUUUCGGGGAAAGAGGUUGUGAGCGAGCGGGAUUCGGAGUGGGCUUAGUGGGCAGUUCUUCCGGGAGAAUCGAAGUCGGUUGGAGGUAGGGGACGAUGGCAGGGCCCGCCUGGCAGUGGGGGCGUCCGGGGGCUCGGGCUGGGCCGGUUCGGUUCGGCUCGGUUUUUCUUUUCCUUUUUUUCUAUUUUUUGUUUUCGAACCUCAAAAAUGAUUCAAAACUCCAAAUCACUCCAAAUAAAUUGCAACAAAAAUUUUAAAAUCAUAUUUUCAUAUGAUCUAACUUCUGGAACAAGAAUUUUCCUCAAAAUAAAAUAUUUAAAAAUACAUUUGCCUAUAAAAUGGCUUUUAGGGCCCCUAGGCUAUCAAAAUAAAUUAUUUUUCAAAAUAAUUUCAAAAGCGAACUUAUGGGAUAACUUUAUAUAAGCAUUAAAUCCCUUUUUAUACCAACACCCUCAUGGGUUGAAAUGCAAACACUCAAAAGUAAGAUCAAAGCCAAAUUCAAAUAAAAGCAUUUUUGAAAAGGGGUUUUCUAGGUCAAUUUUAGGGUUUUCAAAGUGAUUAAAUGCAAGAGUGACAUGAUGCUUAUGAUAUGCAAUGCAUAUGAAGGGUUUUGAAAAUUGGGAUGUUACAGAGAGUGGGGGUGCUAGGCUGGGCCUGAAUGGAUGGGUUAUGCCUAUAUCCUGUAUCAACUAGCUGGGCUGGACCCGUGCUACGGCUCGGUAGCAUGGGCCGUAGGCCCGCCCCAUUGUAGCUUUUAGGGAUUGAGAACCAUUUUAACAAACCAGCCUUUGAUAUGUGGUGUGGUGAACUCAACUUUAUGUCCAAUCAGGGGCGGAGCCGGCAUGUACUCAUUGGUGUCAAAUGACAGCAAUGGUAUUUUGCUAAUCUCCUUUGAAAAAAAAAUACCCUUAAAAUAUGUAAUGACACCUAUAAAUUUUGAAGAGUGACAUCAACCAUAUAUUUUUACAAUUCUAUUCUUCCGC